GGCGCUGUCAUCUAACGGUUAGGAUACUGCCCUCUCAAGGCAGGUAUACGGGUUCGAUUCCCGUCAGCGCUACCA
Molecule: transfer RNA, 75 nt
Filed under: Acidobacteriota bacterium
Lineage: Bacteria; Pseudomonadati; Acidobacteriota
Also listed under: 3 other names
Description: Acidobacteria bacterium tRNA-Glu
Rfam family: tRNA
About the family: Transfer RNA (tRNA) molecules are approximately 80 nucleotides in length. Their secondary structure includes four short double-helical elements and three loops (D, anti-codon, and T loops). Further hydrogen bonds mediate the characteristic L-shaped molecular structure. tRNAs have two regions of fundamental functional importance: the anti-codon, which is responsible for specific mRNA codon recognition, and the 3' end, to which the tRNAs corresponding amino acid is attached (by aminoacyl-tRNA synthetases). tRNAs cope with the degeneracy of the genetic code in two manners: having more than one tRNA (with a specific anti-codon) for a particular amino acid; and 'wobble' base-pairing, i.e. permitting non-standard base-pairing at the 3rd anti-codon position.
Source: RNAcentral